UGUAAGAAUUAAUGGUCGAACAGACCUAAAAUUUAAACUUCUACACCUAAAAAUUAUCUUAAUCCAACAUCGAGGUCGCAAUCUUUUUUAUCGAUUUGAUCUCUCUAAAAACAUUACGCUGUUAUCCCUUAAGUAACUUAAUCUUAUAAUCAUAAAUUAUGGAUCAAAUCAUUUAUUAAUGAAAAAAAGUUUAAUUAAUUUUCCUAUCACCCCAAUAAAAUAUAAUAUAAAGCUUUAAAGGGUCUUCUCGUCCCUCAAAUCUAUUUAAGCUUUUUAACUUAAAAAUAAAAUUCUAAAUCAUUUAAAUAAAGACAGUUUAUAUUUCAUUCAAUCAUUCAUUCCAGCUUCUAAUUAAGAAACUAUUUAUUAUGCUACCUUUGUACAGUCAAAAUACUGCAGCCUUUUUCAAUGGGCAGAUUAGACUUUUUAUU
Molecule: ribosomal RNA, 431 nt
Filed under: Parastivalius novaeguinae
Lineage: Eukaryota; Metazoa; Arthropoda; Insecta; Siphonaptera; Stivaliidae
Description: partial 16S ribosomal RNA
Source: RNAcentral